This 1684-nucleotide ribosomal RNA is filed under the name Triticum aestivum (bread wheat). RNAcentral's name for it is "partial small subunit ribosomal RNA". The record is from RNAcentral. Lineage: Eukaryota; Viridiplantae; Streptophyta; Magnoliopsida; Poales; Poaceae.
GGUCUUAGUAGAGGAGGAAGGGUCUUUGCGUUGUCCGGGUUUUAGGAGGUUGGGGCCGCAUCGACCCGCUAUCGCUCGAACGGCUACCACCGCCGCCCGGUCUAGGCCACGGAUCGACCCGCUAACGCGGGUCACCUCCAGGUCUAGGUCGUGGGGGUGGCAGAACGACGGCCGCAGGAGCGACGGGGUCGUCUAGAGGAGCGCCUGUUUAUGAGACGAGGUAGCAGGACGGGGCCGCCUGGCAGAGCUUCCAUGAGAAGAGGCUGCAGGUCACCUUUUGGAGUGCGUAAGAAGUGUGCAGCGAGCGUGGGGGCGCAGAUCGAGGCGGUAGACCCUUGCGACCUCUUCUUUAGAGGGCAGAAGUCCAGCUUCGAGCAGCUGAUCAUGAUUCAAACAAAAGGCGAUAAAACGACGACGUAGAACUUUACUUUACCUCCCUUCAUCACUCUGUAGCGACAAUCCGCUCGGGUAUCAAGGUCAUUAACGUUUUAAACAUGGUUGUGAUAGUCCACUGUUCUGUAUCAGGUUUUUCCUUUCAUAUAAAACAGUAACGGGUUAAAAGGUAAUAGGGAAGAAACUACAAAAAAGGCAAUUAGGGAAGAAACUACUAAAAACCAUAACAAAUAUGAGUAAUGUUAUUUUAGUAUAAAAGAAACACAGAAACGACGAUUAACGUUUCAUGAACUCGUUAUUCUCCGCGAAGAUUCGACAAUCCUCACCUUUGGUUGUCGAAGUCACUUGUACGUUUGUAGCACCGGACGUGAACAUCACGAAGACAGUCGUUUCUACACACGUAAUUCCGUUACGAUCCAGUGUUAGAUGUUAAUCGUCCUUUACAGGUAACCUCCCUGAUCUACCGACUAACAAAACUGGAUGAACGACACUUUUAACUAUGUUCACUAGGCAGUGACAGUUCGACACUUAUAUAAAACGGCAUACUAUAAUAAAAGCAAAAGAGAAGUGACCAAACUGUACACGGAAACACGAUGUUGUAGUUCAAAAAUGAAAACAGUAGAUGAGGGAGGCAAACUUUUUCGAACAGGGAGUUUACCUACAUAGAUUGUGGUUCAAUCACGAUCUAUGUAGGUAAACUCCCUGUUCAAACCCUGUUCGAAAAAGCCUUCCUCCCUCAUGCUCAAUCGUUUUGUUGAACUCAACGUGAGAAUUAACAAGUUAUGUAUGUACUAGUCAUAAUCUCUUGUAUUAAAAAGGAUAAAGAAAGGAACAUCACAUUUGAUAUAAAAAAAAGGAACAUAAACAUCUACGUACCAUGAGACUGUUCGCCUUCGUAGUCCUGAUGUCUACCUAUCUUUUUCGAAAAUAGUUUCAAGGGGGAAAGACUGUUAACUCUCUUAAAGAGACGUUGAACUGAAAUUGAGACAACAACUAGUCCGUAGACAUGCACAGACACGAGUUGACUUAGCACAAAAGAACCACACUAGGGAGGGUUUUGUUCUUCGAACUACUUACUACUUGUUCCUCAUCAUCUUGUCCUCCCUUUACGAUCUCGUAAAGACAAUACAUGGUAGUUCUAUGAUCUCGAAUAUUAAAAUUUAUUGUUACGAACAACUUACCACUAGUCUAAUCAGGAAUUACGGACAACGACCGGUACAUGGUUUCUACCACGAUGGUACAGAGUAGUUCUAUAAAUACGAACACUAUACGAGUUAGACCCGCUCAGGUC